GGAGCGGCCAUGGCUUACUGGUCAUGGCGUUCGCUUUGUAAGCGAAUGGCCGUGGGUUCGAUUCCCAUCUGCUCCC
Molecule: transfer RNA, 76 nt
Filed under: Culex quinquefasciatus (southern house mosquito)
Lineage: Eukaryota; Metazoa; Arthropoda; Insecta; Diptera; Culicidae
Description: tRNA-Thr
Rfam family: tRNA
About the family: Transfer RNA (tRNA) molecules are approximately 80 nucleotides in length. Their secondary structure includes four short double-helical elements and three loops (D, anti-codon, and T loops).
Source: RNAcentral